Molecule: long non-coding RNA, 758 nt
Filed under: Brassica rapa (field mustard)
Lineage: Eukaryota; Viridiplantae; Streptophyta; Magnoliopsida; Brassicales; Brassicaceae
Description: long non-coding RNA (BRAP_LNC005917)
Source: RNAcentral
GCCUUGUCACUAAUCUCUCUCAACUAACCUAAAGACAUUUUAUGUUUUGUCUCAUCCGGUCCCACUUAACUAUAAUUAUGUUAGUCCUCUCUAUCUAAUUGGGUUUAUCAUCAUAUCAGAGCACUAUCGAUAAGUUCGCAGAUACCGAAGCUGAAAUUAACAAUAAAGAGAGAAACGAUGUAAAUCCAAACCCUAAACGUCGUAUAGCAGCUUCAGCUUUGGUGUAUGCAUGCCAUUACAUUCCAAUUACUUCCCGACAAACAUUUGCUCCCACCACUUUUGAUGUGCCUUUCAGGCUUUACAUCCCCAUGUCCACUUCUCCCUGUUCAAAUCCCGCUCUAUACUGUCUCGCUUCUUUUGUGAGAGAUUGCUACUAAUCAAACUUUCCAGAUUAAUCUAAUUAAUCAAAAUGAAGACAUAUCGAUGAUCAUUAGGCGGUGGAUAACUGAAUAUAUAAGUUUGCCACAGCUCUAUAAAUUUACAUUUUUCAUUGUGACAUGAUAAAAAAGCAAUUUUUAGAGCAUGAUUAACCCUAAAACCUAUUUGGGUUUCUUAAUUUUCUUUUUGAUCUGAUUAAAAAAAAUAAAAAAAAGAACCAAUUGCGAGCCGCCACAUGUCAGUGGGACCCGCGAGUAGUGUCGGUCCUAUUUCAGCAUUUUUGCAACCGAUUCUUGGGCAUUUCGGUGGGGCCCACCCCUUACUUUUUGGGAAGAACCCCCAAAAAAUACCCCGAUAAUCAUGUUUUUACUUACUUUGAG